GGAUCCCUACGGGGGGCAGCAGUGGGGAAUAUUGCACAAUGGGGGGAACCCUGAUGCAGCGAUGCCGCGUGGAGGAAGAAGGUUUUCGGAUUGUAAACUCCUUUUAUCAGGGACGAUAAUGACGGUACCUGAAGAAAAAGCUCCGGCUAACUACGUGCCAGCAGCCGCGGUAAUACGUAGGGAGCGAGCGUUGUCCGGAAUUACUGGGUGUAAAGGGAGCGUAGGCGGGACGGCAAGUCAGAUGUGAAAACUGAGGGAUCAACUUUAAGACUGCAUUUGAAACCGCUGUUCUUGAGUGAAGUAUG
This 305-nucleotide ribosomal RNA is filed under the name uncultured bacterium. Its description in RNAcentral is "bacterial SSU rRNA". It matches the Rfam family "Bacterial small subunit ribosomal RNA", at positions 333 to 655 of the family's 1533-position model. The record is from RNAcentral.